This 146-nucleotide ribosomal RNA is filed under the name Pelobates cultripes (western spadefoot toad). RNAcentral describes it as "SSU_rRNA_eukarya". The record is from RNAcentral. Lineage: Eukaryota; Metazoa; Chordata; Amphibia; Anura; Pelobatidae.
AUAACAAUACAGGACUCUUUUGAGGCCCUGUAAUUGGAAUGAGUACACUUUAAAUCCUUUAACGUGGAUCUAUUGGAGGGCAAGUCUGGUGCAGAGAGACUGACCCGUGCGUGCUGCAGCUGAAACUCCACUAUCACCUGCUACUG